CGCACAUGUGUCCGACCUCUAUGGGUAUCCAUCGAGAUCUAUUUCAAACUUCUUUCUUCUCGUAGAAGAUUCUUUUUCUUAAGAAGAACCUUGAUCUUGAAGACUUUGAUCAACUCCUUCAAUCUUAACUGCGAGAUCAACUCUUUGAUCUGCAACCUUCUUCUUCUUCUCCUCGAUUUACAAUCUCCAAGUCACCAACACUGCUUUUGAGCGUGUGGAAGAGAGGCACCCAACUUUUGGAUGUGGAAAGGAAGAGAGGGGGGAGAGG
This 268-nucleotide long non-coding RNA is filed under the name Elaeis guineensis (African oil palm). Its description in RNAcentral is "long non-coding RNA (EGUI_LNC057728)". Lineage: Eukaryota; Viridiplantae; Streptophyta; Magnoliopsida; Arecales; Arecaceae. The record is from RNAcentral.